Molecule: transfer RNA, 98 nt
Filed under: Actinocatenispora thailandica
Lineage: Bacteria; Bacillati; Actinomycetota; Actinomycetes; Micromonosporales; Micromonosporaceae
Description: tRNA-Ile
Source: RNAcentral
UGCCUGCUGCCGGACCGGUUCGACGGCGCGGCGCUGAUGUCGCAGCCGAUCCCGCUCCCGGUGUUCGGGAUGAUCUGGUCCCACCUGGUGGCGGACGG